RNAcentral lists this ribosomal RNA (218 nucleotides) under Klebsiella pneumoniae. RNAcentral's name for it is "partial 23S ribosomal RNA". It matches the Rfam family "Bacterial large subunit ribosomal RNA", at positions 31 to 249 of the family's 2925-position model. The record is from RNAcentral. Lineage: Bacteria; Pseudomonadati; Pseudomonadota; Gammaproteobacteria; Enterobacterales; Enterobacteriaceae.
CCCUGGCAGUCAGAGGCGAUGAAGGACGUGCUAAUCUGCGAAAAGCGUCGGUAAGGUGAUAUGAACCGUUAUAACCGGCGAUGUCCGAAUGGGGAAACCCAGUGCAAUUCGUUGCACUAUCGUUAACUGAAUACAUAGGUUAACGAGGCGAACCGGGGGAACUGAAACAUCUAAGUACCCCGAGGAAAAGAAAUCAACCGAGAUUCCCCCAGUAGCGG